CGGUGGAUGCCCUGGCAGUCAGAGGCGAUGAAGGACGUGCUAAUCUGCGAUAAGCGUCGGUAAGGUGAUAUGAACCGUUAUAACCGGCGAUUUCCGAAUGGGGAAACCCAGUGUGUUUCGACACACUAUCAUUAACUGAAUCCAUAGGUUAAUGAGGCGAACCGGGGGAACUGAAACAUCUAAGUACCCCGAGGAAAAGAAAUCAACCGAGAUUCCCCCAGUAGCGGCGAGCGAACGGGGAGCAGCCCAGAGCCUGAAUCAGUGUGUGUGUUAGUGGAAGCGUCUGGAAAGGCGCGCGAUACAGGGUGACAGCCCCGUACACAAAAAUGCACAUGCUGUGAGCUCGAUGAGUAGGGCGGGACACGUGGUAUCCUGUCUGAAUAUGGGGGGACCAUCCUCCAAGGCUAAAUACUCCUGACUGACCGAUAGUGAACCAGUACCGUGAGGGAAAGGCGAAAAGAACCCCGGCGAGGGGAGUGAAAAAGAACCUGAAACCGUGUACGUACAAGCAGUGGGAGCACCUUCGGGUGUGACUGCGUACCUUUUGUAUAAUGGGUCAGCGACUUAUAUUCUGUAGCAAGGUUAACCGUAUAGGGGAGCCGCAGGGAAACCGAGUCUUAACUGGGCGUUAAGUUGCAGGGUAUAGACCCGAAACCCGGUGAUCUAGCCAUGGGCAGGUUGAAGGUUGGGUAACACUAACUGGAGGACCGAACCGACUAAUGUUGAAAAAUUAGCGGAUGACUUGUGGCUGGGGGUGAAAGGCCAAUCAAACCGGGAGAUAGCUGGUUCUCCCCGAAAGCUAUUUAGGUAGCGCCUCGUGAACUCAUCUUCGGGGGUAGAGCACUGUUUCGGCUAGGGGGUCAUCCCGACUUACCAACCCGAUGCAAACUACGAAUACCGAAGAAUGUUAUCACGGGAGACACACGGCGGGUGCUAACGUCCGUCGUGAAGAGGGAAACAACCCAGACCGCCAGCUAAGGUCCCAAAGUCAUGGUUAAGUGGGAAACGAUGUGGGAAGGCACAGACAGCCAGGAUGUUGGCUUAGAAGCAGCCAUCAUUUAAAGAAAGCGUAAUAGCUCACUGGUCGAGUCGGCCUGCGCGGAAGAUGUAACGGGGCUAAACCAUGCACCGAAGCUGCGGCAGCGACGCUUAUGCGUUGUUGGGUAGGGGAGCGUUCUGUAAGCCUGUGAAGGUGUGCUGUGAGGCAUGCUGGAGGUAUCAGAAGUGCGAAUGCUGACAUAAGUAACGAUAAAGCGGGUGAAAAGCCCGCUCGCCGGAAGACCAAGGGUUCCUGUCCAACGUUAAUCGGGGCAGGGUGAGUCGACCCCUAAGGCGAGGCCGAAAGGCGUAGUCGAUGGGAAACAGGUUAAUAUUCCUGUACUUGGUGUUACUGCGAAGGGGGGACGGAGAAGGCUAUGUUGGCCGGGCGACGGUUGUCCCGGUUUAAGCGUGUAGGCUGGUUUUCCAGGCAAAUCCGGAAAAUCAAGGCUGAGGCGUGAUGACGAGGCACUACGGUGCUGAAGCAACAAAUGCCCUGCUUCCAGGAAAAGCCUCUAAGCAUCAGGUAACAUCAAAUCGUACCCCAAACCGACACAGGUGGUCAGGUAGAGAAUACCAAGGCGCUUGAGAGAACUCGGGUGAAGGAACUAGGCAAAAUGGUGCCGUAACUUCGGGAGAAGGCACGCUGAUAUGUAGGUGAAGUCCCUCGCGGAUGGAGCUGAAAUCAGUCGAAGAUACCAGCUGGCUGCAACUGUUUAUUAAAAACACAGCACUGUGCAAACACGAAAGUGGACGUAUACGGUGUGACGCCUGCCCGGUGCCGGAAGGUUAAUUGAUGGGGUUAGCGGUAACGCGAAGCUCUUGAUCGAAGCCCCGGUAAACGGCGGCCGUAACUAUAACGGUCCUAAGGUAGCGAAAUUCCUUGUCGGGUAAGUUCCGACCUGCACGAAUGGCGUAAUGAUGGCCAGGCUGUCUCCACCCGAGACUCAGUGAAAUUGAACUCGCUGUGAAGAUGCAGUGUACCCGCGGCAAGACGGAAAGACCCCGUGAACCUUUACUAUAGCUUGACACUGAACAUUGAGCCUUGAUGUGUAGGAUAGGUGGGAGGCUUUGAAGUGUGGACGCCAGUCUGCAUGGAGCCGGCCUUGAAAUACCACCCUUUAAUGUUUGAUGUUCUAACGUUGGCCCCUGAUCGGGGUUGCGGACAGUGUCUGGUGGGUAGUUUGACUGGGGCGGUCUCCUCCUAAAGAGUAACGGAGGAGCACGAAGGUUGGCUAAUCCUGGUCGGACAUCAGGAGGUUAGUGCAAUGGCAUAAGCCAGCUUGACUGCGAGCGUGACGGCGCGAGCAGGUGCGAAAGCAGGUCAUAGUGAUCCGGUGGCUCUGAAUGGAAGGGCCAUCGCUCAACGGAUAAAAGGUACUCCGGGGAUAACAGGCUGAUACCGCCCAAGAGUUCAUAUCGACGGCGGUGUUUGGCACCUCGAUGUCGGCUCAUCACAUCCUGGGGCUGAAGUAGGUCCCAAGGGUAUGGCUGUUCGCCAUUUAAAGUGGUACGCGAGCUGGGUUUAGAACGUCGUGAGACAGUUCGGUCCCUAUCUGCCGUGGGCGCUGGAGAACUGAGGGGGGCUGCUCCUAGUACGAGAGGACCGGAGUGGACGCAUCACUGGUGUUCGGGUUGUCAUGCCAAUGGCACUGCCCGGUAGCUAAAUGCGGAAGAGAUAAGUGCUGAAAGCAUCUAAGCACGAAACUUGCCCCGAGAUGAGUUCUCCCUGACUCCUUGA
This 2779-nucleotide ribosomal RNA is filed under the name human gut metagenome. Its description in RNAcentral is "bacterial LSU rRNA". It matches the Rfam family "Bacterial large subunit ribosomal RNA". The record is from RNAcentral.